AUUUAAUCCAAACACAAUAAAUUUCAUAAAGUUUCAUAAAAUUCAUUUACAUACCGAAUACUACCUUAAUUUAAACAAUAUUAUAAAAAAAUCUCAUUGUCUUGCACAAACAAGCUCAGUUUACAAAAGUACAAUUUAACGUUCAGACUAAUUGACAUAGUGCUAUCCAGCAAGCUCAGGCCUGAAAGCGAAAAGCAAAAGGCAAAAUGGGUUGAGCAGUGCAACAGAUUGCUUGUUAGCACAUCUGCCCUAUGGCUCAUUAGCGGUUUAAUUUCAUUUCAGUGCGUUUAGGCUCUAGUAAUAUGCAGAAAGCACUCUUCGUCGACCAGAUAAAGCCUUUAUUCAAUAAUUGAAGAACCUUUUUUUCUCUUUCCCUCGCACUUGCACUAAAAUGGCAAUCACAUUAGUAUGGGCUAUACCGGCUGCGUCGGCUACUGUCAUUGCUAUGUCUUCCACCACUUGAGCUGCCAGCACCUCCACCCCUGCCGGCCCGAGGCUGUGGUGGAGGGGCGUGUGGUUGCAUUCCAGGCUGUUGCAAGACAUAUCCAAUCCUUCCAUCAGGUAAAAGCAUUGGCAUCAUUGCCAUACCAGCAGGAGUUGGUCCUCUACCAUAAAUCACUGGUUGUGCAAAGCCAGCAGCACCAUAACCUGCACCUAGAGCACCAUAGGUACCCCCAACUAAACCAUAUCCAAGACGGGGUGGGAAGGUUGGAUGCAAGACAGACUUCUGUGAAUUUGGCCCUCCAGAAGACUUCUGAUCUGCUUGAGGCUUAGCAAGGGAGCACUCCAAAACUUGGCCAUCAAUUUCAUAUUUCUCAGUGUUCUUCAAUGCCUUCAUGGCACUCGACCUCUCUGCAAAGUGCACAAAACCAAAUCUGCUCCUUUCAUGCCCUGCUUUUGCAGGAGGGAGAACCACUUUUGUAACUUUUCCAUGAUGUUCAAACAGCUUUCUCAAGCGAUCCUGAGUAAUGUCUUUUGGUAAGUUCUUCACAUACACUGCCUUGACCUGAGAAGCAGCUGAAGAUCCUGCAUUUUUAGGGUCAGCCCAGCUCACAGUUGGAGCAUUAUCAUCCAGUUUAAAUUUUGGGGUUGACAUCUUUUUUCUUGAGUAUUCUGCACAAGCAUGAUUAUAAUACUCAAUGAAAGCAAAUCCACGAUUCCGGUUGGAGUUCUGUGGGUCCUUCAACAAUUCCACAGAAAUUACUCCUGGCCCAAUCUUCAUUACAACAUUCUUCAUAUCUUCCUCUUCCCAGUUUCUUGGAACAUUACCGAUAAACAACCGAUGAUUUGCUUGAGAUGUUGAACAUCUUAUCUUUUUCCCCUUAAGCUCAGCAUUGUUCAGAUCUUCAAUCGCCUUGGAAGCUAACUCCUUUGAUCUGAAGGUCACAAAAGCAUACCCCUUGGCCUCACCUGUAUCUUUUCCCUUCAUUAUCCUUACCUGUUCUCAGCAUAUACACAAAUUUAGUCUGUCUAAAUAAGAAAUGCAGGUGAGGCAUUUAUAAUGACAACAUAACUUACUUCUGUGACUUCUCCUAUAGAUUCACAAAAACCCCUGAGAUCCUCUUCAGUGGCAUCAUGAGGAAUGCCACCAAGGUACACCUCUGAUCCAUGAGGAGGAAGUGCAAGAAGUUCAGCACGAUUUUUUCCCUCAUCUUCCUCCUCGCUGUCUGAGCCUUUUUGUGCAUCAGCCUCGUCUGCUCUCUCCUCAAUUUCUUCCUCUUCUUCCACCUCCUCUUCUACUUCUUCCUCUUCCUCUAUCUCCUCCACUUCCUCCUCUUCCUCUACCUCCUCAUACUCAACUUCUUCUUCCAUUGUCUCCUCUUGUUCAUUGUCACCAUCAAGGUCAACCCCUUCUUCAGAUUCAACAGGCUUUUCAGAUUCAUCAGGUUUGUCAGCAGCCACAGCAAUACCUCUUGUCCUUGGCAUCUUAUGUGUCUAAAGAAAAAGCUUGCAAGGCAACUGUGAAGGAAGCACAGAAGCCAGAAGCAUUCGCAGAAGAAAGAGUACAAGUACGGAAAGGUGGAAACAAAAUGAGAGGCCAAAUGGAGUUGCAGAGUAAGAUUCUCAACUGAAUUUUUCCCAUCAGAUAUGGAUCCAAGGAGUUCCAAUGCGAAUGAUAAUCAAUUACGGGAUAAUGAUAAAGUAACAGUAGUUAUAGAGACAGGCAAGAGAGAAUUACGAAUGAUAAUCAAGAGGAUGAUGAUGCUCAACAGGUGAAAAAUACAUAUGUAUAUAUAUAAUAUGAAGCAGUGAAUUUCUUGAUAUUUAGAUACUGGCAAUGGCCCAAAAACAACAGCCAGUUGAUUGUUUAACUAUAUGU
Molecule: unclassified non-coding RNA, 2320 nt
Filed under: Hevea brasiliensis (rubber tree)
Lineage: Eukaryota; Viridiplantae; Streptophyta; Magnoliopsida; Malpighiales; Euphorbiaceae
Source: RNAcentral